UACGUAGGGGGCAAGCGUUGUCCGGAAUCAUUGGGCGUAAAGAGCGUGUAGGCGGCUCGAUAAGUCCGCUGUGAAAGUCCAGGGCUCAACCCUGGAAGGCCGGUGGAAACUGUCGGGCUAGAGUCCGGAAGAGGCGAGUGGAAUUCCCGGUGUAGCGGUGAAAUGCGCAGAUAUCAGGAGGAACACCUGUGGCGAAAGCGGCUCACUGGACCAUAACUGACGCUGAUGCACGAAAGCGAGGGGAGCAAACAGG
This 253-nucleotide ribosomal RNA is filed under the name uncultured bacterium. Its description in RNAcentral is "partial 16S ribosomal RNA". It matches the Rfam family "Bacterial small subunit ribosomal RNA", at positions 524 to 776 of the family's 1533-position model. The record is from RNAcentral.